This 497-nucleotide ribosomal RNA is filed under the name uncultured bacterium. RNAcentral describes it as "partial 16S ribosomal RNA". It matches the Rfam family "Bacterial small subunit ribosomal RNA", at positions 28 to 507 of the family's 1533-position model. The record is from RNAcentral.
GAUGAACGCUGGCGGCGUGCCUAAUACAUGCAAGUCGAGCGAACAGACGAGGAGCUUGCUCCUCUGACGUUAGCGGCGGACGGGUGAGUAACACGUGGAUAACCUACCUAUAAGACUGGGAUAACUUCGGGAAACCGGAGCUAAUACCGGAUAAUAUAUUGAACCGCAUGGUUCAAUAGUGAAAUACGGUUUUGCUGUCACUUAUAGAUGGAUCCGCGCCGCAUUAGCUAGUUGGUAAGGUAACGGCUUACCAAGGCAACGAUGCGUAGCCGACCUGAGAGGGUGAUCGGCCACACUGGAACUGAGACACGGUCCAGACUCCUACGGGAGGCAGCAGUAGGGAAUCUUCCGCAAUGGGCGAAAGCUUGACGGAGCAACGCCGCGUGAGUGAUGAAGGUCUUCGGAUCGUAAAACUCUGUUAUUAGGGAAGAACAAAUGUGUAAGUAACUAUGCACGUCUUGACGGUACCGAAUCAGAAAGCCACGGCUAACUACGUG